GGGUAUGGGGAGCGGGCCGCGAGCGCCUCCGGCCCGGCCUCCGCCUCCGCGCCCUCGCCGGCGCCCUCGCCUCCCCCGGAGCGGAGGGCGGCCGCGCCGCAGGCCGUGGGGGCGCCUGCGGCCUGGGGGCUCGCGCUGCACGCGGAGGCGGCGGGCCUCGGAGCCGCGAGGGAGGCCCCGGCGCGCCCUGAGGGCCCGCGCGUCGCCCGCCUGCUCCGCAGAGGCCUCCGCCCCGCCGGCUCGCGCGCGUCCGCGGUUCUGAGGCGCGGGGUGGGUCGCGCCCGGGCCGCCGCCGAGCCGCGGGGUGGCCGCCGCCUUCUCGGAGCGAGCCCCGCGGCCCCUCCGCGCGCCGCAGCGGGCCGGGGCGGCGGGGCCCGGGGGUCUGCCGUGCCCCCCGCCUCGCCGAGGCCUCUCGAGGGACCGGGAACAGCCUCUCGCGUGGAAGCUGUUUCGUCUUGUGCUGCGCGGGGCCUAGGGAGCAAGAAAUUUAACCAAGUUUUAUUUCGUCUUUUUCGGAGGAGGAGCUGCCGUUCCCGGCUUCUCCCCUGACGGCCGGAGCCCCGUCCCUCGUGCGCCCGCGCUGUCGCCCGUCCCGCGGGCUUUAACCGAGCGCUUGCGCGGGCCGUCCGUGCGGUGACCCGGCCUGCGUUCCGCGGCUGCGGGAGGAACGAAACGGUAAGCGCCUGGGGUCCGGGCGGGGGUGCGCGCCGCGGGGCCGAAGGGGAGAGUCGGGGGCCGAGCUGCAGGCCUGGGUGGGAAAGGGGAGUCCGGCCGCGGACGGAGGCAGCCGGUGGCGUGGAGCCGAGCUGGGGGCGGAGGAGCUGGCGGGGCGGCCCGCUGGAUCCCCGGCCCCGCCGCCGCGCCGGCUUCGCUCUGGGCGGCCGGGAAGCCGUGGCACGGCUCGGCAGGCGACGGUGGGGAGGCGGAGCGGACGCGAGUCUGCGGAGACGGAUGGGGCUCGAGGCCCGGGCGGCGGUCGGUGGCGGGGGCAGGAUCGGACCCUGAAAGGACUGCCCGUUUGAAACGGGAGGCGGUGGAGAUCCGCACACGCGGGAGCUUCCCCCAGCUUCGUCUUUCCGGCUGAAGGCGAAAGCGGACAUCCGCGCUCCCGCGGCUCCGCUCCCUGGAGAAGAUAUUUCAGCAUCUCCAAAGGAGAAGGGUCUUUUGCAACACAUGACCGCAAUACCACUAACACAGCUAAGAAGUAACAAUUUCCUAAUAUCAAAGAUUCGUCCUUGUGUGUCCAGUAUGGUGGCUGGUAGUCACAUCUCGAGUACUUGAAUGUGACUGGUCUGGAUUGAGAUGUGCGGUGAGUGUAAAAGACACACCAGCUUUCCUGCUAAGAAGACUUAGUAGGAAAAGAACAUGGUUUGUAAUUUUGACACUAUUGAUUACAUGUUGAAACAGUAUUUUUAUAUUGUUAGAUUAAAUGCACUAUGAAAAUUAA
Non-coding RNA from Equus caballus (horse), 1447 nucleotides. Lineage: Eukaryota; Metazoa; Chordata; Mammalia; Perissodactyla; Equidae. The record is from RefSeq and is a predicted model, not a curated record.